Molecule: long non-coding RNA, 212 nt
Filed under: Phaseolus vulgaris (common bean)
Lineage: Eukaryota; Viridiplantae; Streptophyta; Magnoliopsida; Fabales; Fabaceae
Description: long non-coding RNA (PVUL_LNC003527)
Source: RNAcentral
UCUAAUCCUCUCAUGCUUUGUAAAAUUUUCAAUAGUGGUUACUUGUUCCUUAGGCAUAAUUCCUGUAGGAAGUGGUAACAACGCAAAAAGAGAAAGAUGACUAUGUUCACAUACAACUUCAAAUGUAGAAAUAUUAGUAGUCUUGUGGACUACUCUAUUGUAUGCAUGCUCAAUAGAAAAAGGAUACUCAUCCCAAGAAUUGUGGUUGUCUU